RNAcentral lists this ribosomal RNA (625 nucleotides) under Salmonella enterica. Its description in RNAcentral is "partial 23S ribosomal RNA". It matches the Rfam family "Bacterial large subunit ribosomal RNA", at positions 566 to 1190 of the family's 2925-position model. RNAcentral also lists the same sequence under 1 other name. The record is from RNAcentral. Lineage: Bacteria; Pseudomonadati; Pseudomonadota; Gammaproteobacteria; Enterobacterales; Enterobacteriaceae.
ACAAGCAGUGGGAGCACAGGUUUACCUGUGUGACUGCGUACCUUUUGUAUAAUGGGUCAGCGACUUAUAUUCUGUAGCAAGGUUAACCGUAUAGGGGAGCCGUAGGGAAACCGAGUCUUAACCGGGCGUUAAGUUGCAGGGUAUAGACCCGAAACCCGGUGAUCUAGCCAUGGGCAGGUUGAAGGUUGGGUAACACUAACUGGAGGACCGAACCGACUAAUGUUGAAAAAUUAGCGGAUGACCUGUGGCUGGGGGUGAAAGGCCAAUCAAACCGGGAGAUAGCUGGUUCUCCCCGAAAGCUAUUUAGGUAGCGCCUCGUGAAUUCAUCUCCGGGGGUAGAGCACUGUUUCGGCUAGGGGGCCAUCCCGGCUUACCAACCCGAUGCAAACUGCGAAUACCGGAGAAUGUUAUCACGGGAGACACACGGCGGGUGCUAACGUCCGUCGUGAAGAGGGAAACAACCCAGACCGCCAGCUAAGGUCCCAAAGUCAUGGUUAAGUGGGAAACGAUGUGGGAAGGCCCAGACAGCCAGGAUGUUGGCUUAGAAGCAGCCAUCAUUUAAAGAAAGCGUAAUAGCUCACUGGUCGAGUCGGCCUGCGCGGAAGAUGUAACGGGGCUAAACCAU